UACGUAGGGUGCGAGCGUUGUCCGGAAUUAUUGGGCGUAAAGAGCUCGUAGGCGGUGUGUCACGUCGGCCGUGAAAACCUGCAGCUUAACUGUGGGCGUGCGGUCGAUACGGGCAUCACUGGAGUUCGGCAGGGGAGACUGGAAUUCCUGGUGUAGCGGUGAAAUGCGCAGAUAUCGGGAGGAACACCGGUGGCGAAGGCGGCCCCCUGGUUGGAUACUGACGCUGAGACGCGAAAGCGUGGGGAGCAAACAGG
Molecule: ribosomal RNA, 254 nt
Filed under: uncultured bacterium
Lineage: Bacteria
Description: partial 16S ribosomal RNA
Rfam family: Bacterial small subunit ribosomal RNA
Source: RNAcentral